Panicum virgatum (switchgrass) is the source of this 698-nucleotide long non-coding RNA. RefSeq lists it as uncharacterized. The record is from RefSeq and is a predicted model, not a curated record. Lineage: Eukaryota; Viridiplantae; Streptophyta; Magnoliopsida; Poales; Poaceae. The transcript has 2 exons.
AAACCAGGCAGGUAUGUGAGGCAAACUGGUACCUUGGCCCACUUGACAUCAGAUUCUCUUCACCCCAUUCCCCAACGCCUCCUCCCUUCCAGUUUGUCAACCAGCAGCUCCCUCCGUCGCCAUAGAUCCUCCCUUGUUUCUCUCCUCAUACCUCACACCCUCACAAGAUGGUACCUUACUAGCUGGCUAAUGCUGUUGUGCAGCGUCUUCCUCCCUCUCAAGGGGCAAGAAGGUACCGAUGUGUCAUUUCAUCGGUGACACCAUGGCUGCUAGCACUGACCUCAAGGACGGCGUCCCCUUCACCAACUCCAGCAGCUGCAGAUCCAUGAUGGUUGAACAUGGAAUCACCCAAUCUGGGACAUGAUGGCCCUAUAUAAGGUUUGAUUUGGGUCAUGGUGGUGCCAAGCAUGAUGAUGUGGGGGCAUAUCUGAGCCAGCGGUUUCAAUAGUUGACGAGGAGAGAGACCUCACGGUGAUUAAUCUGGCAACAACUUGGUGUAUUUCUUGCAGAGAGGAAAUCUAGGUUUGGUGCAAGUCUUGGGCACGAUUCCCUUUUAUCCAGGAAGAUGCAUCUUUUUUAACUAGGGGAAGAUAGUUAUAUUUUAGAUGGUUCUUGAUCUGUGAUCCAUUUAUCUUUUUCAAACACAUGGAUGAUACCUCUCCUUUUGAGAGGAAAAUAUAUUAAUCUUAGUUUUUUCC